GGCUCCGUGGCGCAAUGGAUAGCGCAUUGGACUUCUUGGCUUGUGAAUGUGAGGUGAUUCAAAGGUUGUGGGUUCGAGUCCCACCGGAGUCG
RNAcentral lists this transfer RNA (92 nucleotides) under Salmo salar (Atlantic salmon). It matches the Rfam family "tRNA". From Rfam's summary of the family: Transfer RNA (tRNA) molecules are approximately 80 nucleotides in length. Their secondary structure includes four short double-helical elements and three loops (D, anti-codon, and T loops). Lineage: Eukaryota; Metazoa; Chordata; Actinopteri; Salmoniformes; Salmonidae. The record is from Rfam by way of RNAcentral.